Molecule: long non-coding RNA, 289 nt
Organism: Diceros bicornis minor
Lineage: Eukaryota; Metazoa; Chordata; Mammalia; Perissodactyla; Rhinocerotidae
Exons: 3
Source: RefSeq, a predicted model, not a curated record
GGCGAUGGGUGAUUAUCUCCAGGAACACCGAGUCAUGAGGGAGAUCCUGCUGCUCCAGGUGGCUGCAAAGAAUUACAACCAGAGCCCGAGGACCGAUUUGGGGCCUGGUUCCAGGACAUGGAGCUGCUCAAUGAGAAUGAUAGCUACAGCCUGUCCUGCCAGCUAAGGCCCCAGGCCUAGUUGGCCAGCAGAAUACUCAAGGCCAAGAAGAACCGGCUGUCAUCAAGGUCAGGGGUGAGUGAGUGUCUGGGCCGGGGUGACUGACUCCUAGGGGUUCAGUAAGGCUUUC